Molecule: ribosomal RNA, 253 nt
Filed under: uncultured bacterium
Lineage: Bacteria
Description: partial 16S ribosomal RNA
Rfam family: Bacterial small subunit ribosomal RNA
Source: RNAcentral
UACGAAGGUCCCGAGCGUUAUCCGGAUUUAUUGGGUUUAAAGGGUGCGUAGGCGGGUUAUUAAGUCAGUGGUGAAAGCCUACAGCUUAACUGUAGAAUUGCCAUUGAUACUGAUGAUCUUGAGUAUGAUUGAGGUGGGCGGAAUGUGUCAUGUAGCGGUGAAAUGCUUAGAUAUGACACAGAACACCGAUUGCGAAGGCAGCUCACUAAGUCACAACUGACGCUGAUGCACGAAAGCGUGGGGAGCAAACAGG